Ciona intestinalis (vase tunicate) is the source of this 308-nucleotide non-coding RNA. NCBI's taxonomy places the organism in Eukaryota, Metazoa, Chordata, Ascidiacea, Phlebobranchia, Cionidae. The record is from RefSeq and is a predicted model, not a curated record.
ACGGCGAGUUCUGGUACAAAAUCAUCUCUUUUUAUUCAGAUAAAGUUUUGGAAUAUUGCAUUAUGUGCUUAAGGACCAAGUCAGCGCUUCUCCUCGUGCUUGUCAUCGGACUCCUCGCUCUCACCGAUACUUCGUCAGCAGCCGAUCCAAUAGGAGCGCCAAGCAGAUGGUCAUGGGACCAAAAGCAAAUCGCUAAAGAUUUGAUGCAAGAACAAAUGGAUGCAAAUCUUGCUGAUUUCUUCGAUGAAUAAUUCAAGUGCAAAAUAUUGCUAUACGAAUAAACAUCAUAAAUAAACAUGUUAUGAUUA